RNAcentral lists this long non-coding RNA (213 nucleotides) under Elaeis guineensis (African oil palm). Its description in RNAcentral is "long non-coding RNA (EGUI_LNC032340)". The record is from RNAcentral. Lineage: Eukaryota; Viridiplantae; Streptophyta; Magnoliopsida; Arecales; Arecaceae.
UGCAUACUUCCAGGCUCAGACUAGCCGGUCCACAUAGUCCCUUAGAAACUUCUUAUCCAGAGAGAAGAUAAGGUGUUCAUUAUGCAGCCCUCACUUGAGCACUGACAUUGUUACCAAUUGGUCGAGGCUUCAUACCUCGAGCAUAGUGGCAUUGAAGUGCAUGAUAUAGUCAUGCAGUGACUUGCCUUCUUUUUGCUGGAGACAGAAGAGACU